UACGUAGGGGGCUAGCGUUAUCCGGAAUUACUGGGCGUAAAGGGUGCGUAGGUGGUUUCUUAAGUCAGAGGUGAAAGGCUACGGCUCAACCGUAGUAAGCCUUUGAAACUGGGGAACUUGAGUGCAGGAGAGGAGAGUGGAAUUCCUAGUGUAGCGGUGAAAUGCGAAGAUAUUAGGAGGAACACCAGUUGCGAAGGCGGCUCUCUGGACUGUAACUGACACUGAGGCACGAAAGCGUGGGGAGCAAACAGG
This 252-nucleotide ribosomal RNA is filed under the name uncultured bacterium. RNAcentral's name for it is "partial 16S ribosomal RNA". It matches the Rfam family "Bacterial small subunit ribosomal RNA", at positions 524 to 776 of the family's 1533-position model. The record is from RNAcentral.